RNAcentral lists this small nuclear RNA (314 nucleotides) under Nannospalax galili (Upper Galilee mountains blind mole rat). RNAcentral describes it as "7SK RNA (ENSNGAG00000006677.1)". It matches the Rfam family "7SK RNA". Rfam says of the family: 7SK was discovered as an abundant small nuclear RNA in the mid-70s but a possible function has only recently been suggested. Two independent studies have found that 7SK RNA binds the CDK9/cyclin T complex (known as elongation factor P-TEFb). The record is from Rfam by way of RNAcentral. Lineage: Eukaryota; Metazoa; Chordata; Mammalia; Rodentia; Spalacidae.
AAAUGUGAAGGCAAUCUAGCUGUGACAUCUGUCACCCUAUUGAUCACCAGGCUGAUCUGGCUGGCUAGGCAGGUGUCAUCUUCCUGCCUCAAUGCUCCACUUGUGUCCUUUCCAAAGUUGUGUGCUCAAUCGAAGAGGAAAAGAGAACAACGUUUCUCAAUAAAGAAGGAUUGGUCUUUGGUCAAAGGCAUGUGAGUUGCUGUGCUCCACUGCUAGAAUGUCCAGACAAGCUCUUAUAUAACUGAAAGCAUGUGUAGUCCAUAACGACUACAGCACGCCGAUUAAAUUCAUACAACUUUACCCCAGUAUGAAUU